RNAcentral lists this ribosomal RNA (579 nucleotides) under Triticum aestivum (bread wheat). RNAcentral's name for it is "partial small subunit ribosomal RNA". The record is from RNAcentral. Lineage: Eukaryota; Viridiplantae; Streptophyta; Magnoliopsida; Poales; Poaceae.
AUGGGGGACAGGAAGGUCCCAGCUUUGGAGGGAGUGGAAUGUAAGCUGGAAAAGUUGAAGCUCUCGGAUGCAGAGAAGAAAGGCAUUAAGAUUGGAAAGAAGCAGGCUUGUUCUCCUACCAUGGGCAAGCUACAAGCAGUGGGUAAGCUCUUCUCAGAAAGACCGGCAAAAUCUGAAUAUUUGGGGAGAACUUUAGCAGGGGUUUGGUUUCCUUUCUCAAGGGUAGAAUGCAAGGAUAUGGGAAGGAAUCAGUUUCUUUUCACAUUCCAUGAAGAAGCAAGCAAGAAGAAGGCACUAGAAAAUGGCCCAUGGAUGUUCAACAAAAACUUGCUAGUGAUGGAAGAUUUUGUACCCAGUUAUACUAUUGAUGAGUAUGAUUUUAAGAUGAUCCCCAUCUGGGUCAGAGCUUAUGGUAUCCCUAUGGGAAUGAUGAGCAUGGAAACAGGAGAUCUGCUGGGAGAACAAAUAGGAGAAGUGUUGGAUGUUGAUCUAGAUGAUGACGGAAACGCGAUGGCGGAAUUCAUGCGAUAUAACAACUCCAAUAAUGAGGUUCGUCACACUGGAACUGGAAGAGGAUGA